GACGAACGCUGGCGGCGUGCUUAACACAUGCAAGUCGAACGGAAAGGCCCUGCUUUUGUGGGGUGCUCGAGUGGCGAACGGGUGAGUAACACGUGAGUAACCUGCCCUUGACUUUGGGAUAACUUCAGGAAACUGGGGCUAAUACCGGAUAGGAGCUCCUGCUGCAUGGUGGGGGUUGGAAAGUUUCGGCGGUUGGGGAUAGACUCGCGGCUUAUCAGCUUGUUGGUGGGGUAGUGGCUACCAAGGCUUUGACGGGUAGCCGGCCUGAGAGGGUGACCGGCCACAUUGGGACUGAGAUACGGCCCAGACUCCUACGGGAGGCAGCAGUGGGGAAUAUUGCACAAUGGGCGGAAGCCUGAUGCAGCAACGCCGCGUGCGGGAUGACGGCCUUCGGGUUGUAAACCGCUUUCGCCUGUGACGAAGCGUGAGUGACGGUAAUGGGUAAAGAAGCACCGGCUAACUACGUG
This 467-nucleotide ribosomal RNA is filed under the name uncultured bacterium. Its description in RNAcentral is "partial 16S ribosomal RNA". It matches the Rfam family "Bacterial small subunit ribosomal RNA", at positions 28 to 507 of the family's 1533-position model. The record is from RNAcentral.